RNAcentral lists this long non-coding RNA (1363 nucleotides) under Junco hyemalis (dark-eyed junco). RNAcentral describes it as "lncRNA (ENSJHYG00000006425.1)". Lineage: Eukaryota; Metazoa; Chordata; Aves; Passeriformes; Passerellidae. The record is from RNAcentral.
UUGAAACCCCCCAAUAAGUUCCCCUUUUUCAGGUGCUGAAGAGCCAGAGGUGGGAGAAAAAGCAGUCAGUGACCAAGGUGCUGGGGACAAGUGAUAUGCACCAGCCCAGUGCUGAGGAGCAGGUCUCUGCAGGAAAUGCAGCUCCAGGCCAGCAGCCUGGGAGCCAGACACCCCUGGAGCCAGCAGAGCCAGAGCGUGGGGCCAGGCGUGCAUCCCGCAGAUGGGUGGAGGACAUGUGGGCACAGAGCGUGGCUGGACACGGUGGGAAAGGCCUCACUCUCCAUCUGAACGUCCUUCAUCAGCUCCCCAUGUCACACUCAUCCUCCUCCCCUGUCCCCACACCACAGGACAGGGUGACAGCAGAAGCCAGGAAGGGGACAGCCAAGCUCUGGCCAGCACAGGGCUGCUGGAGGAGCCAUCCCAGAGCAAAGUGUCACAGCCACGGCCCGGGUGUGACAGCGUGAGUGGGAGCCCGCAGGGUCCCUGCACAGGGCCAGCUCUACUGCCAGCACUGGUGCCACCGAGCCCCUCUCCUCCCCUGCAGGCUGGGAGGCGGUGCCAGCCGUGCCCACUCCCGGAGGUGCAGCGGGCCCUGGCCAGGGCACGGCGGCAGCGGCUGCGGGCUCAGCACUGCCGGCAGCGCCAGCGGGAGCUCGGGGCCGGCUCUGUGCCAGCCCGGGAGCACAGCGGAGAGCGGGACACAGAGCGCUGGCAGCGGGAGGUGACCGCGCUGGGCCUGAGCCUGGAGGCAGCGCUGCGGGAGCGGGAGGCGGCCGAGUGGGAGCUGGAGGCUCUGCUGCUCAACCACCACCGGGAGAUGCAGGGCUGCCGACAGCACCUGCUGCAGGUGGGCAGGCCGGGCUGGGGACACCUCUCCCUCUCACACUGUGCCAGGGCUGUGCAGGGCUGUGCCAGACCGCCCCGGGCACCCCCAGGUGCUCCGGGACCAGCAGCGCCUGGCGGAGGAGCAGCGGGCGGGCCUGGAGCGCCGGCACCGGGAGCGGCUGCAGGAGGCGCUGCGGGAACUCGCCGAGCACAAGCAGCUCCUGAGGGACACCCCACGGGCAGGCACGGCCGGUGCCACCUCACAGACACCCUGAGGCACGGCCGGGCGUGGGGACAGCUGGCCUGGCACGACUGGGUCCCUGCACCGAGCCAGCAGCCAUGCCAGGAUACCGGGCAGCCCCAGGCACAGGAGUUAUCCCAGGCCUCUGGCUGUGCUCCCGAGGGAAAGCCUGCUCUGUGCUGGGACCCUGCCUGUGGGAGCACAGCUCAGCCUGCUGGGAGGCAGGCUUUGUUCUCCACACAGAAUAAAGUGGGUGCUCCUCAGCCGUGAGUGGUGUCAGGCUCAGACACACCCUGG